RNAcentral lists this ribosomal RNA (305 nucleotides) under uncultured bacterium. RNAcentral's name for it is "bacterial SSU rRNA". It matches the Rfam family "Bacterial small subunit ribosomal RNA", at positions 334 to 653 of the family's 1533-position model. The record is from RNAcentral.
UUGCCCUACGGGACGCAGCAGUGGGGAAUAUUGGGCAAUGGGCGCAAGCCUGACCCAGCAACGCCGCGUGAAGGAAGAAGGCUUUCGGGUUGUAAACUUCUUUUAAGAGGGACGAAACAAAUGACGGUACCUCUUGAAUAAGCUCCGGCUAACUACGUGCCAGCAGCCGCGGUAAUACGUAGGGAGCGAGCGUUAUCCGGAUUUACUGGGUGUAAAGGGCGUGUAGGCGGGAUGGCAAGUCAGGCGUGAAAACUAUGGGCUCAACCCAUAGCCUGCGUUUGAAACUGUCGUUCUUGAGUGAUGGG